GGUCCGCUGGCGUAAUGGUAGCGCGUCUGACUACGACCAUCACUCCGAAGCAGUCGGAGUGUAGCGCAAUCAGGAGGCUCCAGGUUCGAUCCCUGGGCGGAUCG
This is a transfer RNA of 104 nucleotides. It matches the Rfam family "tRNA". From Rfam's summary of the family: Transfer RNA (tRNA) molecules are approximately 80 nucleotides in length. The record is from Rfam.